CCUACGGGUGGCUGCAGUAAGGAAUAUUGGUCAAUGGACGAAAGUCUGAACCAGCCAUGCCGCGUGGAGGAUGAAGGUCCUCUGGAUUGUAAACUUCUUUUAUAUGGGACGAAAAAAGGCUUUUCUAAGUCGUCUGACGGUACCAUAUGAAUAAGCACCGGCUAACUCCGUGCCAGCAGCCGCGGUAAUACGGAGGGUGCAAGCGUUAUCCGGAUUCACUGGGUUUAAGGGGUGUUGGGGUGGGUGGGUUGAAAUCCCCGAGCUUAAGUUGGGAACUGCCAGUGAUACUAUCAGUCUUGAAUACCGUGGAGGUCAGCGGAAUAUGUCAUGUAGCGGUGAAAUGCUUAGAUAUGACAUAGAACACCAAUUGCGAAGGCAGCUGGCUACCCGAAUAUUGACACUGAGGCACGAAAGCGUGGGGAUCACACAGGAUUAGAUACCCCAGUAGUG
This 450-nucleotide ribosomal RNA is filed under the name uncultured bacterium. Its description in RNAcentral is "partial 16S ribosomal RNA". It matches the Rfam family "Bacterial small subunit ribosomal RNA", at positions 338 to 795 of the family's 1533-position model. The record is from RNAcentral.